RNAcentral lists this long non-coding RNA (1872 nucleotides) under Homo sapiens (human). RNAcentral's name for it is "non-protein coding THUMPD3-AS1:90". The record is from RNAcentral. Lineage: Eukaryota; Metazoa; Chordata; Mammalia; Primates; Hominidae.
GGAAGCCGCCGGGGCCGCCUAGAGAAGAGGCUGUGCUUCGGCGCUCCGGCUCCUCAGAGAGCCUCGGCUAGGUGUGGAAACAGGAAGAGAACUAGAACUGGAAGUAAAGCAUUGAAGAUGUGACUGAAUUGCUGCAAUCUCAUGAUCAAAUUUGAAUGGAUGAGGAGUUGCUUUUUAGGGAUGAGCAAAGAAAGUGGUUUCUCGAGAUGGAAUCUACUGGUUGCUCCUUGAGGGCAGGACAGUUCUUAUGGCUUUAUCCGUUGCGUAAGCACAGAGAGGUCUGCGAGGUCAAAACUAUUGUCAUGAUAGCAAGAUGCCUGUCUUUUUCAUUUAUUCUCACGGUGUGCAGAGGCUACAUGAUGUGUGAUGACAUCCUCAUUGAUGUUAAUGAAUGGUGCUAUACUUGAAUUUUCUAAGGUGUCAUUAGGUAGGUUUAGGUAUGCAUACUUGUUUUUAGAAAUUAUUUUUUUCCUUUUUCCCAUUUUUAGAAAUCAACUCAUUUUUUAGGUUAUGCCUUCAGUAAUCUUUGCAACCUCAAUAUUGUGUAAUGGUUACUUUAAAAUACUGUAGUUUUCUUUGUGCCUAAGUAUAAACAUAAGUACAUUUUGUUGUUUUGUUUGCAAUAGUGGUUUAAAUAUUUUCCCAAAAUAUCCAAAUUUAAAAAUUCUACAACUUUAGAAUUUAAUAAAUUUAUUCUAAAAUAUUUAUAUAUUUUUUCAUUUAAGAAUGGAUCGGCUUAAAAAGACUGCUUCUCAUUUACUUACUGGCUAUACCAUCUGUAUACUAAUAAAAAACAAGAUUUGAUUUGGAAGGACUGACUCAAACUAACGAAAAUAUGAAACCUGUCUUUCUGCUUUGGAGAUAUUUACCUAAUCAUGUUCUGCAGUAGAAUAAUUUAGUUCUUUUGUCUUUUUUUGGAGAUGAGGUCUUGCUGUGUUGCCCAGGCUAUUCACAGCUGCCAUCAUAGUGAACUACAGCCUGAAACUCCUGGGUUCAAGAGAUCCUUCUGCCUCAGCCUCCUGAGUAGCUGGAACUAUAGGCAUGCGCCACCAAGCCUGGGCUUUUAAAAAAAUUUUAAAAAGAAUUUUGAGACAGGAUCUUGCCAUGUUGCUCAGGCUAGUCUUCAACUCCUAGCCCUGAGUGAUCUUGCUUUGGGCCUCUCAAAAUGUUGAGUUAAUAGGCGUGAGCCACCAUACCCAGCCAAAAAUUUUUUUAGAGAUGGGAAUGGAAUGAUCUUGAAUAGUGUUGGUGCCACCUAUGUUGUGGCAUCAUUUUGAAACCAAUCAUUCAGAGUGCUUUUUUUGGUAAGGCAUUAUUUUUUAAUGCAGGUAUGCCACUACUGGGAAAAAAAAAAAAACAGGUUUUAAAGCUAGAAAUGAAAAGCUACUUAAGUAUCUUAAAGGAUAAGUUACUUUAUUAUACACUAGAAACAUACACAAUAGCUGAAAAACUUAAAAAAUCUCACACUGCUGAAUGUCUCUGCUGGCUGAAGUGUAAGUAAAAGAUCAUAGUAGUGCCGCUGUUGAGUGAUAAAGCAACUUGUCAUUAAAGAUGUGUGUGCAGACAUGGAUUCUGAGUUAAUAUCUCAUCUGUAGAAGUAUAUAUUUGUCCCUUGCUUUGGGAUUGGUUUCUGGACAGCACUCCCCCACCCUUGCUGGCCAUUUGCCAAGGACACCAAAACCCAAGGAUGUUGAAUUCCCUUUUAUAAAAUGGCGCUGUAUCUGCAUACAACUUACACACAUCCUCCCAUAUACUUUAAAUCAUUUCCAGAUUUCUUAUACUUCAUACAAUGUGAAUGCUAUAUAAAUAGUUGUUACAUUGUGUACUUAUAUUUGUACUAUUGUAUUAAAUAUUCUCAAAUAUUUUCAAGCA